GAUGAAGAACGUAGCGAAAUGCGAUAAGUAAUGUGAAUUGCAGAAUUCAGUGAAUCAUCGAACCUUUGAACGCACCUUGCGCCCUUUGGCCAUUCCGAAGGGCAUGCCUGUUUGAGUAUCAUGAACACCUCAACUCUUUAUGGUUUUCCAUGAUGAGCUUGGACUCUGGGGGUUUUGCUGGCUCACAGUCGGCUCCUCUAAAAUGAAUCAGCUUACCAGUGUUUGGUGGGUAUCAUGGGUGUGAUAACUAUCUACGCUUGUGGUUUUUCCACCAGGUAACCUUCAGCAGUGGAGGUUCGCUGGAGCUCAUAGAUGUCUCUCCUCAGUGAGGACAGCCCUUUGAAUGUUUGAUCUCAAAUCAGGUAGGACUACCCGCUGAACUUAAGCAUAUCAAUAAGCGGAGGA
This 405-nucleotide unclassified non-coding RNA is filed under the name soil metagenome. RNAcentral describes it as "partial contains 5.8S ribosomal RNA, internal transcribed spacer 2, and large subunit ribosomal RNA". The stretch from base 1 to 121 matches the Rfam family "5.8S ribosomal RNA", at positions 35 to 154 of the family's 154-position model. The record is from RNAcentral.